RNAcentral lists this ribosomal RNA (403 nucleotides) under uncultured bacterium. RNAcentral's name for it is "partial 16S ribosomal RNA". It matches the Rfam family "Bacterial small subunit ribosomal RNA", at positions 28 to 526 of the family's 1533-position model. The record is from RNAcentral.
GACGAACGCUGGCGGCGUGCCUAAUACAUGCAAGUCGAACGCAGUGGGGACGGGUGCGUAACACGUGGGUAACCUCCCAUCAGAGGGGAUAACACUUGGAAACAGGUGCUAACCCGAUAUUGCUGGAUGGACCCGCGGUGCAUUAGCUAGUGGGUGAGGUAACGGCUCACCAAGGCCACGAUGAAUAGCCGACCUGAGAGGGUGAUCAGCCACACGGGAACUGAGACACGGCCCAGACUCCUACGGGAGGCAGCAGUAGGGAAUCUUCGGCAAUGGGCGAAAGUCUGACCGAGCAACGCCGCGUGAUUGAAGAAGGUUUUCGGAUCGUAAAGCACUUUUGUUAGAGAAGCGGUAUCUACCCAGAAAGCCACGGCUAACUACGUGCCAGCAGCCGCGGUAAUUC